UGAUGAUGAAGGAAAAAGGUAAAUUUUACAACUUUCAAGAACCUUGUUUGAAGCUUGCAAGGUUUGACAUUGUCUAUGGACUUAGCCUUGUUAGUCAUUAUAUGGAGUCACCAACCAUUACCCAUAUGAAGCUGCAAAGAAGGUUUUUCAUUACAUCAAAGGCACUUGUUGGUCAUUAUAUGGAGUCACCAACCAUUACCCAUAUGAAGGCUGCAAAGAGGAUUCUUCAUUACAUCAAAGGCACCAUUGAUCAUUACAAAAAAAUGGACCUUUUAUUGCGUGUACAUGCACACCGUAAAAGUGUUUACUAUUUAUUGCGUGCAUCCUGCGUUACUAAAGUGUAAAGUAACCUGGAAGGCUAAUGUCUGAGCCAGACCUGGUCCACCUGGUUUAUUAAGAGACACAAGCUGAAAGAAGAAUCCAGCACGAUGGUUUAAAAUGUUUCCAUAAUAUACUCUUCCUCGGCUAAAGGUUUUGUCAGGUUGUAGUUCUUGUGAAGCAUGCAUAUCAAGGAGAAUGGUAGCGUAUCCAACUUCAGCUUUCUAUUCUCUUUAUUCACUGGCUCCUUUUCCCACAUUGAACCAGAAUUUUCCUCAAAAAUAUGAACUAUCUUAUCAUUGUAAUUGAGAGAAACUACUGGAAUUUGCACGAGAAAAGAUUGAGGCUAUCCAUAAGUAUGUACAUAAACACUUCGAUUGGUACUUUAACAGUAACACUAUCUAAAUAUCUGUACCUCAUACAUUUUGCAAAAGUUAUCAAGUUUUGUCUCACCUAAAAAUGUGGAUAACUAACCUUUCUCUCAUCUCUACAAGAGCAAAUCAGAAAUCUUGUUAUUUUUCCUCCCACAAAAAAUUAAUACAAAUUUUGAAAACCUUUAUAAGAUUAAAUAAAGAUUGGAUGAAAUAUAAACAAAUAACUACAGUUUUUCACUUUUUUUAAUCUUUAGGUGUAUAUCCCUUGAUACCUUUGACGUCUAAACAAAUAAGAUAAUUUUAUUUUGCAUUUUCCUUCUUCAUAUUAACUUUCUAAAUUUCAAAUAAUGCAUUGUAUGAAUAAUUUCUACCAGGCAUGAAAGCAUAGAAGAACAAAUUGCUACAAUGUAUUUCAAACUUUAGUGUAUAUAGACAACUAAAGAAUUUUUCCGAAGCAAAAAAGCAAAUAAACCAGUAGAGAACGAAACUCUUUCCUUUUUGUUAGUUAACUCGGACAGAUGAAUAUCAAAACUAUGAAUCCCCAAUUGCCAAUUCAAUUCUCAAAUCUAAUUUGUAAGUUUAGUUUGUAACUGACACUCCACUUUAGCAAUAAAUAAAUAAAUGCAAAACCGGUUCGUGAAGUUCACCAUCAAAUGAAAUCCAAAAUCUUAAGUUUUAAUCUUUUCACCUAAAUUGAAAAACCUACCACUUGUGGAAGCCCAAGAAGCAAAAACAAUAAAUGAAUCCCAAUAAGCCCAAAGAAAAAAAAAAAAAAAAAGGAAUCAUAGCAAAGUAUAUACGUCUAUAGUCCCCAAUCACCAUAGUAUUCCUUCAAAAAAUACCCAAAUGAAGAAAAAAGAAUAACACCAAGAAUGAAGGGAAAUUUUAACUAACCUAGAAUGACAAUAAACGAAGGAGGUGGUGGCGGUACAAGUGGAGAAGUUGAUGACAGAGUAGCAGAAUAGCUACUGAAUUUCCGUUAAGCCUCUCCUUAAUCGACCUACUAGCCUGGGCCUCUGCCUCCACUCGAUCAACAUACAUCGCGUAAUAAAUUAAUAAUCCCUAAAAUUUGUAGCACCAAACUCAAACCCUAACACUUACCCAAAUUGUUGUAUGUACGUAAUAUUUGUGUAGAAAAUGCAAGGAAUUGUAGAGAGAAAUUGAGGAAAUGGAGAGGACCAAAAAGUGGGUUUUGGAUUUUUAAAAUUAAUUUUGCAAAAAUGUAGAAUUUAUUUGUGAUUUGUGAAGGAGGAACGAAAAUGUAAUGUAGGUAUGGAAUGGAAGGCGAAGAAAGACGAGAGUGAGCUAAGGCGUCGGUGGUUGGCAGUGGAAGGCAGAAAGAGAUGACAGUGAGAGCUGAGGCGCUAGGCGAAGUUGUGGAUGAAACAUA
This 2082-nucleotide long non-coding RNA is filed under the name Olea europaea subsp. europaea. The record is from RNAcentral. Lineage: Eukaryota; Viridiplantae; Streptophyta; Magnoliopsida; Lamiales; Oleaceae.